RNAcentral lists this ribosomal RNA (783 nucleotides) under uncultured bacterium. Its description in RNAcentral is "bacterial SSU rRNA". It matches the Rfam family "Bacterial small subunit ribosomal RNA", at positions 78 to 878 of the family's 1533-position model. The record is from RNAcentral.
GCUUGCUCCUCCGGAACAGUGGCGGACGGGUGAGUAACACGUGAGCAACCUGCCUUUCAGAGGGGGACAACAGUUGGAAACGACUGCUAAUACCGCAUAACGUAUUUUGGCGGCAUCGCCGGAAUACCAAAGGAGCAAUCCGCUGAAAGAUGGGCUCGCGUCUGAUUAGAUAGUUGGUGAGGUAACGGCUCACCAAGUCGACGAUCAGUAGCCGGACUGAGAGGUUGAACGGCCACAUUAGGACUGAGACACGGCCCAGACUCCUACGGGAGGCAGCAGUGGGGGAUAUUGGACAAUGGGGGAAACCCUGAUCCAGCGAUGCCGCGUGAGGGAAGAAGGUUUUCGGAUUGUAAACCUCUGUGGAGGGGGACGAUAAUGACGGUACCCCUUUAGGAAGCCACGGCUAACUACGUGCCAGCAGCCGCGGUAAUACGUAGGUGGCGAGCGUUGUCCGGAAUUACUGGGUGUAAAGGGAGUGUAGGCGGGAAAGCAAGUCAGAAGUGAAAACUAUGGGCUUAACCCAUAGCCUGCUUUUGAAACUGUUUUUCUUGAGUGAAGUAGAGGCAAGCGGAAUUCCUAGUGUAGCGGUGAAAUGCGUAGAUAUUAGGAGGAACACCAGUGGCGAAGGCGGCUUGCUGGGCUUUUACUGACGCUGAGGCUCGAAAGCGUGGGGAGCAAACAGGAUUAGAUACCCUGGUAGUCCACGCCGUAAACGAUGAUCACUAGGUGUGGGGAGCGAACCUUUCCGUGCCGGAGUAAACACAAUAAGUGAUCAACCUGGGG